RNAcentral lists this ribosomal RNA (481 nucleotides) under uncultured bacterium. RNAcentral describes it as "partial 16S ribosomal RNA". It matches the Rfam family "Bacterial small subunit ribosomal RNA", at positions 28 to 507 of the family's 1533-position model. The record is from RNAcentral.
GAUGAACGCUGGCGGCGUGCUUAACACAUGCAAGUCGAACGAAGCACUUUAUUUGAUUUCCUUCGGGACUGAUUAUUUUGUGACUGAGUGGCGGACGGGUGAGUAACGCGUGGGUAACCUGCCUUGUACAGGGGGAUAACAGUUGGAAACGGCUGCUAAUACCGCAUAAGCGCACAGCAUCGCAUGAUGCAGUGUGAAAAACUCCGGUGGUAUAAGAUGGACCCGCGUUGGAUUGGCUAGUUGGUGAGGUAACGGCCCACCAAGGCGACGAUCCAUGGCCGACCUGAGAGGGUGACCGGCCACAUUGGGACUGAGACACGGCCCAAACUCCUACGGGAAGCAGCAGUGGGGAAUAUUGCACAAUGGGCGAAAGCCUGAUGCAGCGACGCCGCGUGAGCGAAGAAGUAUUUCGGUAUGUAAAGCUCUAUCAGCAGGGAAGAUAAUGACGGUACCUGAAGAAGAAGCACCGGCUAAAUACGUG